UGGGGAAUUUUGGACGAAUGGGCGAAAGCCUGAUCCAGCAAUGCCGCGUGUGUGAAGAAGGCCUUCGGGUUGUAAAGCACUUUUGUCCGGAAAGAAAUCCUUGGCUCUAAUACAGUCGGGGGAUGACGGUACCGGAAGAAUAAGCACCGGCUAACUACGUGCCAGCAGCCGCGGUAAUACGUAGGGUGCAAGCGUUAAUCGGAAUUACUGGGCGUAAAGCGUGCGCAGGCGGUUUGCUAAGACCGAUGUGAAAUCCCCGGGCUCAACCUGGGAACUGCAUUGGUGACUGGCAGGCUAGAGUAUGGCAGAGGGGGGUAGAAUUCCACGUGUAGCAGUGAAAUGCGUAGAGAUGUGGAGGAAUACCGAUGGCGAAGGCAGCCCCCUGGGCCAAUACUGACGCUCAUGCACGAAAGCGUGGGGAGCAAAACAGGAUUAGAUACCCCUGGUAGUCCACGCCCUAAAACGAUGUCAACUAGUUGUUGGGGAUUCAUUUCCUUAGUAACGUAGCUAACGCGUGAAGUUGACCGCCUGGGGAGUACGGUCGCAAGAUUAAAACUCAAAGGAAUUGACGGGGUCAUAGCUGUUUCC
Molecule: ribosomal RNA, 588 nt
Filed under: uncultured bacterium
Lineage: Bacteria
Description: partial 16S ribosomal RNA
Rfam family: Bacterial small subunit ribosomal RNA
Source: RNAcentral